Molecule: ribosomal RNA, 507 nt
Filed under: uncultured bacterium
Lineage: Bacteria
Description: partial 16S ribosomal RNA
Source: RNAcentral
GGAGUUAGCCGGUGCUUCUUCUGUGAGUGAUGUCCUUCCUGCCGGCUAUUAACCCGCAGGCCUUCUUCCUCACUGAAAGUGCUUUACAACCCGAAGGCCUUCUUCACACACGCGGCAUGGAUGGAUCAGGGUUGCCCCCAUUGUCCAAUAUUCCCCACUGCUGCCUCCCGUAGGAGUCUGGGCCGUGUCUCAGUCCCAGUGUGGCUGAUCAUCCUCUCAGACCAGCUACGGAUCGUCGCCUUGGUGAGCCGUUACCUCACCAACCAGCUAAUCCGACAUAGGCUCAUCCGAUAGCGCGAGGCCCGAAGGUCCCCCGCUUUCCCCCGUAGGGCGUAUGCGGUAUUAGCCUGGGUUUCCCCAGGUUAUCCCCCACUACCGGGCAGAUUCCUAUGCAUUACUCACCCGUCCGCCGCUCGCCACCAGGGAGCAAGCUCCCCGUGCUGCCGCUCGACUUGCAUGUGUUAGGCCUGCCGCCAGCGUUCAAUCUGAGCCAGGAUCAAACUCUGA